RNAcentral lists this unclassified non-coding RNA (1825 nucleotides) under Hevea brasiliensis (rubber tree). The record is from RNAcentral. Lineage: Eukaryota; Viridiplantae; Streptophyta; Magnoliopsida; Malpighiales; Euphorbiaceae.
AAAAAAAAAAAUGACGAAAAAACGAUUUACACCACCCUUGUUGUUGUCUGUUUGUCUACAUGAUGAACUUGAUAUCCGGAUUUCUUAUCGAUUUCAGCCACAUAUCUGCCAUUACACGCGAUGAUAUGCUCCAUAGCAAGUCUUGGCCUUUUAGUGGUGAAGUUUUCUUUGCUUUUUUCGCCAUUUUACCAAGUCCAUAAGCUAUUAGCCACUGCAUUGCUGUCAAUUUCUGUUUUUCUGUGUCCCACGCGUUCUUCUUUCCUCCGCUCCUGACUUUCAAUCCGCCAAUAGCCAGACACGCGACUUUAAACUUCUUUUCCUCAUCAUCAAAGUUGUUAGUUUCCUCAUCAAUAGGAACUGCUUGAACCAGUGCUAUCAUAGGUCCUCCAACUGCUUCGAAUUGCCUCAACGGAUCCCUCAGUUGAACCACAACUGAGAUCAUUAUACUAUCACUUUUGUCAUCUUUUGUCCAGUCUUCGAGUGGGACAGCAGAGUCCAACGGGUGACCAUCAUCAUCUUUUUUGAUAGCUGAAACAUCGAAAGGAGCCUCUUCUUCCGGUAUGUCUGCUUGAAUUUUCAAUGCUUCGACUGUCAUUGCCUCCAUUUUCUGCAGUGUGAAUGCAAGAAUCUCGUCCACUGUAGACGGCUUGUCACUGAUGUUCCAUAUCCCCGUAGAGAUCCUCUCGUUCCUGCUUGUGUUCAUCGCUGUCGCCAUUGAUUUCACUACUGCAACUGUCUCAGCAGCACUUGAGCUGGCGCCUCCUUCUUUGUUCCUCCCUUGAAUAAUUGCUGAAGCAAUGCCUUCAAAUGCUAUCUGCUCCGCUGUUUUGCCCACAAGCUCUUCCAUUGGCAUCAUCGAUAAGAUCUUGGACGUAAAUUCCUCUAGCCCCACAGCUGCCAUCCUCUGGAACAACUCGAAUCCAAUCAUAGAUGACGGAACUGAUGGAAGGACAAAUGGUUUUGAUAUCUGCAUUGCAAGUUUCGGAGUGUCUUUUCUCAAAACAACAGUAUUAAGAGGAUUCAUAGCUGCUAAAAAACCGCCAUUUCUUGUUUGAACAACACAUCCUAACCCCUUAGCAAGAUCAGGUAUGAAAAUGCCCGAUUCUCUCUUUUCGUUGUCUUCAUUUCCUCCUCCUCCUUGAAGCUUUAACGCGGGGGUUUCUUGAUUAUCCGUCUUCUGCUGACUAACACCUGGAUCUUCCAGUAGUUGGAGGAAUUCCCUUGUCACAGUUUCCUCAUCGGCAUCCAGCCUUUGGGAUUCGGAAUCAUCCUCCUCCAUCUUAACUUGAUUUUCAUCUCUAAACAUUGAUUCAAGUGCUUUGAUUUGCUGUGCAAUGGAAUCAAGUGCUGACAAUCUUGUCAAAUGCAUUUGAUCGUGGACGACUUCCUUAACAACCUCGUGACUAGAUGAUACCGAUCUUUUAUCAGAAUUUCCUUCUGAUCGCUCGUCUCCAUCUUCCUCCUCCUCUCCUACUUCUUUUGUAGCUAAUUCAUCUUUAUCUUCCAUUUCAACUCCUUUGUCUUGAAUUUCAAUUCCUUUAUCCACAAUAUCGAAAUCAGGGAGAUCAAGAUCCUCUACUUUCGACUCUGGCUCCUCCUUCACAGGCUCAUCGUCUAGAUUCAGCUCAUCAAUCCCUUGAAUAUUUGCUGUUGUUCCUCCUUGUGAUGGAGUCCAGUUAGCUGAACUUAAACUAGUCAUUCUUGGACUCUGAACACUAAAAGACGUUUUCGAUUGCUUUCUAGCAAAUGUAGAUGAGUAGCUCUUCGCGUUCUUCGUUCCCCCUUCACCUUGGCUAUAAAUCCCAACUCCACCAUCUUUCUCCAU